UGGGGAAUAUUGGGCAAUGGGCGCAAGCCUGACCCAGCAACGCCGCGUGAAGGAAGAAGGCUUUCGGGUUGUAAACUUCUUUUCUCAGGGACGAAGCAAGUGACGGUACCUGAGGAAUAAGCCACGGCUAACUACGUGCCAGCAGCCGCGGUAAUACGUAGGUGGCAAGCGUUAUCCGGAUUUACUGGGUGUAAAGGGCGUGUAGGCGGGGAAGCAAGUCAGAUGUGAAAACCACGGGCUCAACCUGUGGCCUGCAUUUAAAACUGUUUUUCUUGAGUACUGGAGAGGCAGACGGAAUUCCUAGUGUAGCGGUGAAAUGCGUAGAUAUUAGGAGGAACACCAGUGGCGAAGGCGGUCUGCUGGACAGCAACUGACGCUGAGGCGCGAAAGCGUGGGGAGCAAACAGGAUUAGAUACCC
Molecule: ribosomal RNA, 418 nt
Filed under: uncultured bacterium
Lineage: Bacteria
Description: bacterial SSU rRNA
Rfam family: Bacterial small subunit ribosomal RNA
Source: RNAcentral